UAAAAUGUUACCAUAACAAUACGCUUCCUUCUUCGAUCCAUCCUGCUUUGUUAUGUUCUUCGCUGUGAAACAGGCACGUGUAUGAUAACACAUUAAUUUGAUAUCAGACUGAAGCUCAUUGUAAAAAUAAAGACGGCUUCGAAAUGAUUGUUUAGUUGAAGCUAGAUAUUAAUAAGCUUCAAGACGCCAUAUUGGUAGGACCCAUGUCGGGCAGUCAGCAACAGAGUAACGUAAGUAGGCCUAUUAAAAGGGGCACACAGUGUUGUGCCUAUGGCUGUACCAAACGAAAGAAAAGCAGGCAGGAUCAGCUUGACGGCAGAAGUGAUAGCGAAGGCAGCGAAGACGAAGAGUCGGCCUUAAAGAGAUGUCAUCCAAGAACAUUUCAUGCUUUCCCAAUUGAUCCAGACAGAAGGAAAUCCUGGCUUGUUCAUCUCCAUCGUCAAAAAUGGAAGCCUAGUUCACAUUCUCGUGUCUGCUCUGACCAUUUUAUAGAAAGUGAUAUCGAUAGAACUGGCCAGGUUGUCCGGCUACGUACUGAAGCUAUUCCAACACGACUUAAAAACCUUCCAAAACAUUUGAGAAAGGCAACAAAAUCAAGGGAACCACCAUGUUUGAAAGUCAGUGAAAAGAAGGAUGUUCA
This is a long non-coding RNA of Clupea harengus (Atlantic herring), 640 nucleotides long. RefSeq lists it as uncharacterized. NCBI's taxonomy places the organism in Eukaryota, Metazoa, Chordata, Actinopteri, Clupeiformes, Clupeidae. The transcript has 3 exons. The record is from RefSeq and is a predicted model, not a curated record.